GAAAAAUUUGAGAAAAUUAAACAAUAGAAAAAACACUAGUUCUUUCUUAUUUUAUUUUAUUUUUUUAUUUUAGUUUAGGUGAUUCAAGAGCAAUAGAAAAAUAAAUUUCUAAAUGGGGUUUUGAGUUAUUUACCAAGAACUAAACUGUAAAGAGCAUUAUUAGUUGAUUUUCUCCAAUAAAAUAUAUUUUAUUCAUCAUUCUUCUACCUAAAAACAAAAAAUCAAAUAUACAAUCCAAAGAACAAAACAUAAAUAAAGUUUCAAAGGGAAAUUUUAUAUAUUAUGGGAAAAUGUAAGAAAAAAAUGUUAAGGAAAAAGGUAGAAAAAAUGUCUAAAGAUUUUCCUCUUAAUUUUCAUUGAAUAGAGGUAGGAAAUAUGCAUUCAUCUUAAAUUUAAUAAUUUUCCCAUGGACAACCAAGCAAUCUUACAUUUUCUUUCCUUCUCUUUUUCCUCUUUCUCCCAUUUUCCUCAAGCUUUCCAUGAACAACCAAACAAUCUUAUAUUUUCUUUCCUUCUUUUUUUCCUCUUUCAAUCCUUCUCUCAAUCUUUCCAUGAACAAAUUAACAUAGUCUUCAUAUGUCUUCCUCUCUAUCUUUCUUUCUCUCACAACUCCUUCUCUCAUUUUCUUCACUCUUUCUAUCAAAGAUAUUUAACCGAACAGUUCUCACUUCUUGCCUUUUGCUAGCACCCAAAACAAUUCUCCUACUCUCACAGCUCCUUCCCUCAAUUUUCUUCCCUCCCUCUAUCAAAAAUCUUUAAUUGAACAACCCUUGUUCUCUUGUUUCCUCUUACCUAGAAAAUUCCCACCCUUUCUUCACACUUCUACUCUCCUAAAAGAAAAAUCCCAGCCUCUCUUCUCUUCAACGAAUCACCAUUUUUCACUCCCAAAACUAGCUCCAAAAUAACAAGGUAUAACUUGAACCAAAUGAAAUCAAACCACAAAAACUCAAACCAACUUGUGAAAUCAAUAAAACAUGAGGUAAUUCAUGCAUAGGUUAUGCAAAAUAUUAAAAUAUAAAAUAUUAAUCGAAUUACUAUUUUUACUUAUCAUAUAAUUGAGAAUAUAUGAUUAAAAAGUGUCAAAAGGAAGUUUUCUACCGUUCAAAUCCGAUCUUCACCGUUCAAAUUUAAGAUUAAUGACUUAUGAACCUCUCCUCCAAAUUUCAGCUCAAUCAGACCAUGAACAAAGCGGCAUCGGACCUUUGAUGAAAUCUGGGCAUGAUGUAAAAAACCACUGUUUUUCUCUCUUCUCCUCUUUCUCUCUAAUGACUGUCCAAAACUCCAAAUCCGAUCUCCACCGUUAUAUUGAAGAUACAUGAGCCACGAACCGCUCCUUCAAAUUUCAACUCGAUCGGACCACGGAUGAAGCAGGAUCGGACAUUUGAUGAAAUCUGGGCAUGAUGAGAAAAACCUGCGUUUUUCUCUCUUCUCCUCUCUCUUUAUAAUGACUUUCCGAAACUCCAAAUCAGAUCUUCACCGUUCAGAUUGAAGAUAAAUGAGUCACGAAACUCUCCUCCAAAUUUCAGCUCAAUCGGACCAUGGACGAAGUGGGAUCGGACCUUUGAUGAAAUCUGGGCAUGAUGAGAAAAACUUGUGUUUUUCUCUCUUCUCUUCUUUCUCACUAAAAACCGUGGCUCUCUCCCUUCUUUCUUGUCUUCCAAAAGUUAGGGUUUUCAAUGGAGACUUUAUAACAAAUUCUAAAAUACCAUGCAUGUCCUUUUUCAAUAAAUUAAAAAUAGUAUUCUUUAUUUCAUCUUCCAAUAAUAAUUUUUAUAUAUUGAACUCAUAAUGAAUUUAUAUUGUUUAAUUAUUUGAUAUUUUAGGUUGAUGUUGGUUUAAUUUGAAUAUUGAUAUUUUAAAAAAAAACUAAUUUAAUAGAAUGAGCUUAAUUCUCAUAAAUAUUAGAAAAUUUUUAUAAAUAUUCUUAUUGCAUUUAGUUUUAUUGUGAGUCUAAUCAUCAUUAAAUUAAUUUAAAUAUUAAUUUAUUUCAUUUUAGUUAAAUAAUUUCAAAUUAUAUUCAUUAACUAUAAAACCUUCUCAAAUAAAAGGGUUAAACCCAAUAAAUGUGGCCCAAGGCCCGAACAAGUGCUCAAAAUAGGCCACUUUUUUGUGGUCCACAAAUAAAUUAACAAAUUAUUUUUAAAUGAAAUAUAAGAUAAUUUCUAAUUUAAUAAAAAUGAAAAAUAGUUUAUGAAAAUAGAUUGUAUUGAUACAAACUAUAAAAAAAUUAAUAUCAAAUAAUAAAAAAAAUAAUUUAUUAGGAUUUUAUUUUAUUUAUAUCCAAUUUUUAAAAAAAAACCUUAAUGUAGCAACUUUAUGUCAUUAAUAUUAAUGUCAAUUUACCAUAAUUAAUUUAUAGAAUAAAAUUCUAAUAUCAAAAUUUGUAUAAGUUAACUUAAAAACAAAAAUUUUAAAAGUCAAUACAACUAUGACACUUAUCAGGAACAUCAUUACAUACCCAUCAAAUAAUGAUGCUUAUAAUAAGUAUCAAGGUAAAUAAUAAAACUAUGAUACUUCUUAUAAGCGUCAUUAUAUACACAGUUAUAAGGAAAAAGAUGACAUCAAAUAAUGACACUUAUAAUAAGUAUCAAGAUAAAUAAUACAACUAUGACACUUCUUAUAAGCGUCAUUGUAUACCCUCAAUAAUGACACUUUUAGAAAGCGUCAUAAAAUAAAGCGUCAUUAAUUUCAAUUUUUGUAGUAGUGGAUAUUACUUUUAACCAUGGAAAAGUUUCAAAAUUGUAAGAAAAGUUAAUUCUAAGACAAUGUUGAUGAUGUAGCAAAAUUCCCAAUACAAAGAGAUCUAUGGAACGCUUCUUGUUCUGAGUCAAGGCUUUUCUUCACACUACCUCAAGUUGGACUUGGAUGCUCUAUCUAGCCUUAUAGAGAUAAGCUUGGAAACAAAUCAAGUAUCUAGAUAUAAGCAUGACACAAAGUUGGGGGUGUCUUUGGGACCAUCUUUGAGUAAAGUGGCUUUUCCAUCACAAAUAGUAUCUUUGGUUCCACAGUAUGUAGUAGUUAAUGAAUCAGAGGAAGUUAUCAUGGUCUGUCAAUGUCAUUUUGGGGUUUUUUUCUCAAUUUAUCAAAUGUGAAGUUUUUUUUUUUUUUAUGUUUGAAUAAUAUUUUGACUCAUCUUCUAACCAAUUUUGCUUGAAAAUGAUGACAUGGAACACAUGAUCUAUAUCAACAUUGGACAUGCAGAAAACAUCAGGGAUGGGAUCAAGCAAGAAGAGCGAAUAUAGCCUCUUUGACACCUUUAUCAAAAAACAUAGAAAUGUUAAUGAUGAUUCAUUAAUAUUUGUCCAGUUUCAGCUGAAAGACAUUGGAUUGGGUUGGUCAAGGCCAAUAUGUAUUACUUCAAGGAAUCCUUAGAUGUUCCAAUAUUGCUCUCAAAUCUAACACCAUAAGACAACUUUGAAAGAGUUUGCGAUUGUUCAUGUGGUAGAGAGAGGUUCUAAUCUUGUUUUGUAUUUCCAAAAAUUAAUUUUCCAUAUCGGAUUGAGAAUUGCUUGCAUGAAGCAUCAAUCACUUACUAUCAAAACGUUGUGUUGUUAUUCCUACACACUUAAUAUUCAAUUACUAAUUUAUUGGAUGAAAAUUUGAGAAAUAUUUAUGUGUUUAUGUAUUAUAAUCACAAUUUUUCUAUUAUUUUUCGGAAUUUUUAGGAUUUAGAGGAGCCUAAGAUCAUUGGGUUUGGAAGUAGUGUUGAUUAUGUUUGGGAUGUUUGACUAUUCCACAUAAAUUAGUUGUCAAAAUUGAUGGUAAUUACCCUCUUGUUGUUUUGUUUUGUUUAUUCAUGGCAAUUUAUACAUUUACUACCACCAAUCAGAUAGCAGAUUCAAUAGGCUUAUGGUUUUGUAGAUAUUCAUGUAUUACGUGAAAUUAACUUGGACAAGGUGCGAGCAUGGAAGCCUUUCUUUAAAAGCUAGCAACAUAGAAGGUUUCCAUUUCAUUUACCAUUGGAUAAUAGGCUAAGAGACUAGAGAAGAACUAAUUUUAGUGGAUUAAAUGGUAUUGAGAUUAUAAAGGUGGGGUAUGAAGUAUAUGCAGAUGGUUCCAUGUGGGUUUUGCGAAUCCAUGAAUUUCCUAACAAUUACAAGGGAGAUGAAGAGUUCCAUUCAUGUGCAAAGAUUUAACUAAGAGUUCCCUAUUUUGCAAUGCACUUACUUGAACAUGGAAAGCUGGUCAGUUUCAAGUUAUAUCAAUUUGGUUGUCACUGAACACUAGCUCUUAUUCAUUUACUGUUUUGACAUUUUCUCAUUCAUGCUCUCACCAAUCUUUAAAAGAUUUGAAAUCUAGCUCUAUAGAUGUUGUAAACUAACUUCUAUAUCUUUUUUCCUGCAAUGAAGUUGGUUAUAACCAUUAAACUUCUUCAUUUUUUUUCUCUAAUAGAUAAUGCGUUUUUUUUAUCUUCUUUCAUUUUUUUCUUCUUUUUUCUUUGGUCUUUGUUUGUUUUUUUUCCAUUACUUGGAAUGGAACUUAAAACUUCCCUUUACCCAUUCCAAUCCAUUUCCACUUAAGUCGGAUUUCAAGGGCACAACUAUUGUUGAACUUUUUGCUUACUCAAAACUUGGUAUACAUACCAUUGCAUUCGGUGUUCCUUUUUUUUUUUUCAAUAAGUAGGAUAUAUAUGCACUAACAUUGCUUUGGAAUAUCCCUACGAAGCCAUCGAAUUAUGCUAUUUACAUCAAUCUUAAGAUGAUAUGACAUUUGGGUAUGUUAAUUAUGCUAAUCUUCCCUACUCUAUAUGUGUUGAAUUUGACUCUCCAAAUAACAGUUUGCUAGGAUUCUUUCCUCCCCCCCAUCUUCCCUCUUGGACUGUCAAUCUUUGAACUUGCGACUUUUGAUAUCCAACGUUGACCAUUUCUGAUUUGUGCAUGUUGGUAUUUAUGUUAAUUGAAAGGGCAAAAUAAAACCCUUUUUAUUCUUGACUAAUUGUUUCCAAUUCAUUGAUUCUUAUCAUUUUUUAAUUUGAAGGAACCUAUGAAAAAAAAAUCAGGACAUACAAAAUUUAAUGUCUAAUUUUGGGUUAAAUGGUGCAUCCUGAUUCUUUUCUAGUACUUUGGAUUUAUAUGUUUUAAAGUUGGAGAAUUUUAUAUUUCUAAGCAAUGAUAAUAUUCAGUUUUCUUAAACGAGAACAUCGUACACUACAUAUACAACAAGCCAUAAAAAGUAACAAUAUUGUUAAAAUUUACAUAUUUAUGUGUAUAAGUUGUGCAUACAUGUUUGUGUAUGCAUGUCUUAAUAUUUUGGUAGACAUGUCACAGUAACCAAAAAUUGAUAAAUUUAUUGUUCACACAUUUAUUUCAUUUUUCUUGAAAUCUAAUAUUUUAGUAAAUUUGGUUAAAAUGAUUGUAAAACUGGUGCCCAACAAUUUAUUGAAAUAAAAAUAAUAAUAAUAGUAAAACUAGUGGAAAGAUAUAUAAUACCUUAUGACCCCAUAAGCACUAGUUUCUAUCAUUUCAAUUUUUUUUUUAAAUAGUUAACAAUCAUGCCCCUUCAUUUUUUUACCUUGUGAUCAGUUGGCAAGGACAUUGGUGUAGACAAAUAUUCAAUGUUUGUACACAUGCUUCAAGCACUUGUGAUUCCUUUUAUUGGAAAUGUUUGUUGUGUAUUUAUGCAUGGCCUUAAUCGUGUCUAAGUAUGUGGAAGUGUGUUUGGUAUUGAACUCAUAAUUAUAUUCGUUUCAUCAACUUCUCUCCUUCCCUGUUUAGUUAGUUUUGAGAUUUAAAAGGAUGGAUUUGUAUUGGUUGGCAUCAUAGGUAUAUGGUGAAGAAAAGUUGCAAGAAGCAUUGCUGCAUAUAUAGACCAAAAAAUAAGCCUCUUAUAACGGUAUGAAGGAAAAUAAUUGAGAGGAUUUAAGAGAAAGCAUUCAUAGUUACUUUGUUUCUCAUGUCCACCAUAUCAUUAUUUUUACCCUAUUAGACCUAAAACCAUUCAUUCCUAUUCUAGGUGGUGUUGAUUGUUUUUUUUUUAUUAUUAUAGCUAAGCAAUCAUGUUGCUUCCAUGGAUGAUCCACUUGUUAUUGCUUCAUUACUUCCACCAAGUGCUCUAUUGAAUGCUCAAAGCUUGAGAUGGACAAUGUGUGCAACUGAUCGAUGUUUUAAGAAUCCAAUGACUCAUGCCUUUUUUCGAUGUGUCAAAGUUUUGCCAGUUUCUCUUGGUGAUGGGAUUUACCAAACGGUACCUCUUUCUGUAUGUCCUUUUGUCUGUCUAGUAAUUAUAUAAUUUUCAAAAGUUGAUUAAGAGCUACAUAAUGGAUGACUUAAAUAUGAAAGCAGAUAUUACCCUUUAGAAGUUUUCUAUUAUAAAAAGUCCAUGUUUGGUGUGCUAUUUACAAGUAGUUAGUAGUUGUUUCGUUAAUGUACUUAUUGAAUACAAAAGGAAUAUCGAAAGAAAAUGCUUAAAUAAUUUACUGGUUAAAAAGAUUGUAUAUCUAAUUUUCUUUAUUCUAUUUUUUUUUAAUAUGGUUUGAACCUUUAUUGUUGUGUACCUGAGGUCAAUAAAGGUUGUGUGAAACCAAGGUUGGUUAAUCUCAGUUUUGAUGAUAACAAAACAAAGUUUGUAACUAAUGAUUAUAUUUCAAGUGUGAUUAGGCAAGAAGAUUUCUAAAGUGGCAAUCAAAAAGACAAAAUCAAGUCAAAGGGAAAUCAAUAAGCAGAAGUAAAAUUUUUAAAAAAAGUGUUUUUCAAUACCUAAGCUUCAUAGAAUCUCUUUGUAAGGUUGUUGGUGCACUAGGUUUUUUCAUGUAUUACAUUCUUUAUUUAAGCACCAAAAUAUCCAAGAAUUAUUUUGUUUUAAAUUUUUUAAAAUUGAAUGAUUUUAUGUUUUCAAUUAAAACCUUGUGUCAAAUGAAUUCUAAUCUUGUUUAAAAGGUUUUAAGUUGAAAAUGAUGGUUGUAGAGCCAAACAUGGCUCAACCGGUUGAACAAGAUGAGGAAUCGAUCGACCUGUUCAGCUCAACCGAUUGAACGCUGCAAAAACCUUAUCUAUUUUUUAGAAUGUUUGUUCAAUCGGUUGGGGUUGAACCUCAACUAAUCGAGGUUUGAUCGAGGUUCGAUCAAGGGGCGGUCGAGGUCUAACGGUCACCUGUCAAGCAUUAAAUGCUAACGACUAGUCAACCGAUCAAACCAAAGCUCCACCAGACGAACCCCCAACAGGCUAGUUUGGCUUCUUCUUCUUUUCUUUAUAAAAGGCUCUAAUCUUCAUUGUUUCAACAAUUUAACCUUCCAAAACAUUUCUUGAAUAUAUUUGAGUCUUAGGAGAGUGUUUUUUAGUGCACCAUUGUUCUAAAACUUGCAUAUCAUUAGUGCACUUUUCAAUCCUAGUUUUUCUUGAACAUUUGGGCCUAAAGUUUUAUACUAGAAUUUUAUGAAAUUAUUUGUAAAUCUUUGAGAGGAAAAAUCUAAGUGUGAGAUAUCAUUUAGGGAUCCUCGAGCGUGGAGUAUCAGUUGAUGGGUUGUUCAAGAGUGGGGUAUCUCUUAAGAAUUGUAAAGGGUGCUUAGAGCCAAAAGUCCAAAAUGGUGGAUUGGAACCAUAAUUCAAUUGUAUUGCUUGAAGGUUUGGUCUGGAAGCCUUGAAAUAGUGAAACCUCAAGCUUGGGAUUGACGAUAGAGGAGAGUGAACGUAGGUCGGGUUGCAUCGAACCACUAUAAAAAUCUUGUGUUUGCAUUCUCUUUUCCCUACUCAUUUACUUUAUACACAAUUUUCUUUAUAUUGUUUUAUAAUAUAUUUGCAUAUAAUUGUCUUUUGCAUUCAUAUAAUUUAAAUUUACAAAAAGAGACCAUCACUCUAUUCACUCCACCUCUAGGGUGAUUACCUUAGGUUGUAUUAGCCUAAUUUUUUCCAACAAUUGGUAUUAGAGCUAGGCCUCUUGUUUAAGACUUAACCAUUUAGGAGGUAAUGACUAAUCCAUCAAGCUCAUCUCACAUUGAAAGUUUUCCAACCACCCGACCUCCAUUUUUUACGGGAACCAAUUAUUUCUAUUGGAAAACAAAAAUGACUUGGUUUUUAAAAUCUACUAAUCUUGAUCUAUGGGAUGUCAUUGAAGAUGGUCCUCGUAUUCCUUUUAAAUUGGAAAAUGGAUUGAUGGUUCCAAAACUUAAGCAAGAAUGGAAUGAACUUGAUAAAAAGAAAGUUCAAUUAAAUGUCAAAGAGGUUUAUAUCUUACAUUGUGCUAUUGAUAUAAAUGAAUUUAAUCGUGUUUGGUAGUGUCAGUCGGCUAGAGAAAUUUGGAGACUAUUAGAAAUCACUCAUGAGGGAACCAACCAAGUUAAAGAGUCUAGAAUCAACAUCCUUGCGCAUGAUUAUGAAUUAUUUUCUAUGAAGGAUUUUGAAUCUAUUGUAGAGAUGUUUUCUAGGUUCAUGGUGAUUGUGAAUGAACUUGAAGCCUUGGAAAAUACCUACACUGAAGUAGAGAAAGUCAUAAAGAUCUUGAGGUCUCUACCAAAAAAAUGGGAAACAAAAGUGAUGGUUAUUCAAGAAGCAAAGGAUGUCACCAAACUCCCACUUGAAAAACUCAUUGGGCCACUCAUGACUCAUGAGAUAAAUUGAACAAUCAUCAAAGAGUUGAAGAAAAUAAGAAAAAUAUAGCAUAUAAGGUCUCAACAAAUGAUGAUGAAGAGGAAGAGUGUGAAAAUGAAAACUUUGAUCUCAUCACCAAGAAAUUCAUGAAGUCCAUCAAGCUUGAGAAGAUCAAGGAAAAAAGAAAAUCUCAUUCAAAAGAAGAAUCUUCAAGUUCCAAAAAGAAUAAGAAAGGCAUGGUGGCAACAUGGAGUGAAAGUGAAAGUGAUGAAGAUUCCAUGGAAGAAGAAUGUACAAAUGAGGAUGUCAACAUGUGCUUCAUGACUUUGAAGGAACAUGAAGAUGAGGUAAAUUCCAACUCUAACUAUAAUGAGUUUCAAGAUAUACUUCAAGAAUUAUAUUUUGAUCUUGAAAAACUUGGGUUCAAAAAGGUCUCUCUUAAGAAAAAGAUUUCUUCUCUUCAAAAUGAGCUCAAUGAGUUUAAAGAAAAAUUUGAAAAUAUUGAGAAGGCAAAAAUCUCUUUUGAAAAGGAAAAUGAGGAGUUGAAAAAGAAAAACUAAUCGUUAAUAUCCUCUCUACAAAAGUUCUCAAACAAUUAAAAGACUUUUGAUAUGAUUUUGGCAAGUCAAAAAUACAUUUUUUAUAAAAAGAGGCUAGGUUACAAGCCUUUUAAAAAUAAAAUAAAAUAAAUAUUUUAAGAAUUAUUUUAUAAAGGAAACCUCUAGUUUUUCACUUUCAACCAUUUGCAAUCUUUGUGAAGGAUGAGGUCACAUUAGUGAUAUUUGUCCCUUAAGAAAUCCUUUCAUAUUCUUCAAAACUUUAAAUUAUUUUGGAUUCUAAAUGGAGGAAAGACUAACCCUUAAGGACCCAAAAAGAUAUGGGUACCAAAGGUUACUUAAUUUGUUUUGUAGGAAUCCAUGCAAGAAGAAGAAUGAUAUGUUUACCUUGGAAAGAAUACAUUGAUAAUAUUGGUAAUGGUAUUCCCUCUAAAGCUUAAUUUGCAAUAUCCUUUUAUCAUUUUGCUAACACUUGGUAUGAUUUUUGUUAAUAAUAUAACUUUUCGUUUCACAUUAAUAAAAUUGAUAUAAUGUGAAACUGAAUUGAAUGAUCAUAUGCUUGUAUGCUCUAAUAGUGUUAUUCAAUGCUUGCAUGUAUGCUUGUAUCUUUUUAAAUGCAUAUGUUCUCCCAUAUAUCUUUCCAAAUCAUGCUUUAAAUUGGGAAUGCUCCAAGGUUGAGCAAUCUUUUAUUUGGAAAAUGUUCUUAAAUGAAAAAAUGGGAGAUUCAUUUCCAUGAGAAAUUACAUUAUGCUUAUUGUUUAUUUUUAACUUUUGAUAUUAUGUGAUUCUCCUUAUAUGAUUUAUUGAGACUUUUUGUGGAUGACAAAAAAUGGGGAGAAGUAAUGACAGGUUGCCAACUUGGGAAGAAAUGUUAAUAUUGUUUUAGAAAUCCUAUCCAUAUUAAUGUUAUGUACUUUAUUGGUUAUAAUUGCAUGCAUCAUUUUUAAUAAUAAUAUCUUGCCAAUUGCUAAAUUGCUUUUUAUGCUAUUUAUGUUUGAUUAUAUCAUUUUGAGCACAUUUAAUAUACUACUUGAAGUUUCUAAACUUGAAUAUUUUUUUAAAAUUUAAAUGAGCAUAUAUUGAGGGGGAACUUUUUAGAAACCUUGGUUUGUCAUCAUCAAAAAACGGGAAAUUAUGAAACCAAGGUUUAGUUCAUCUCGGUUUUGAUGAUAACAAAACAAGGUUUGAAACUAAUGAUUAUAUUUCAAGUGUGAUUAGAUAAGAAGAUUUCCAAAGUGGCAAUUGAAAAGACAAAAUCAAGUUAAAGGGAAAUCAACAAGAAGAAAAAGACCUCAAAGAUAAGUGUUUUUGUUUUAAAUAUUUUAAAAUUGGAUGAUUUCAUGUCUUUCAUUAAAACUUUGUGUCAAAUGUUUUAUAAUCUUGUUUAAAAGGUUUUAAGUUGAAAAUGAUGAUUGUUAAGCCAAAAACGGCUCAACCGAUUGAAUUGAAUGAGGAAUAAGUCAACCUAUUCAACUCAAUCGGUUGAGGGGUGCAAAAACCUUCUCUUUUUACCAGUUAAGGUCCGAUCGAGGGGCGGUCAAGGUCCAACAGUCACCUGCCAAGUAUUAAAUGUUAAUGACUAUCAACCGAUUGAACCGAUGUUCAACUGGACAAACCCCCAAUGGCUAGUUUGACUUCUUUUUUCUCUAUAAAAAGGCUCAAAUCUUCAUUGUUUCAACAACUUAACCUUCCAAAACAUUUAUUGAAUAUAUUUGAGUCUUAGGAGAGUGUUUUUUAGUGCACUGUUGUUCUAAAACUUACAUAUCAUUAGUACACCUUUCAAUCCUAGUUUUUCUUAUAAAUUUGAGCCUAAAGUUUUGUACUAGGAUUUUGUGAAAUUAUUUGUAAAUCUUUGAAAGGAAAAAAUCUAAAUAUGAGAUAUCACUUAGGGAUUCUCAAGCAUAGGGUAUUACUUAAGGGGUUGUUCAAGAGUGGGGUAUCUCUUGAGGAUUGUAAAGGGUGUUUGGAGCCAAAAGUAUAAGAUGGUGGAUUGGAACCAUAAUCCAAUUGUAUUGCUUAAAGGCUUGGUUUGGAAGCCUUGAAAUAGUGGAACCUCAAACUUAGGAUUGAAGCUAGAGGAGAGUGGAUGUAGGUCGGGUUGCACCAAACCACUAUAAAAAUCUUGUGUUUGCAUUCUCUCUUCUCUACUCUUUCAUUUUAUAUGUAAUUGUCUUUAUAUUCUUUAUUAUAUAUAUUUGCAUAUAAUUUUCUCUUGCAUUCAUAUAAUUUAAAUUUACAAAAAAAAAAAAAUCAUUACUCUAUUCACCUCCUUUUAGGGUGAUUACCUUAGGUUGGAUUAACCUAAUUUUUACCAACAAGUUGUGUAAUAGAUACUAACUUGUGCUUAAUAUUGAAAUAAUCUUAUGUCUAUAUGUUACUAAUUGAAUGAAUUUUGUUUCUAAUUAUGGAUAGUGAUUUAGGAGGAAAACAUCUACAAUCUAUAACAAUGUGUAUUAAGUUUUAGUUUUGUAGUUAGUAUUAUAUCUAUUUGGUUGUUGUUUAUACUUUAUAUCAUUAUUCUUCUUAAUGUUAUUUUAUAUCGUAUGGUGUUCUCAUGUUAUCUUUUUAGCAUGCUGCAGGGUAUAGACAUGGUCGUUUCAAAAUUGAAUAGUGGAGGUUGGGUUCACAUCUUUCAAGAAAGUAGUCAUUCUUAGGAUGGUGGGAAAACUGUAGGGUUUGCCAAGAGAGGUGUAGGAAGGUAGUAGUUUAAUGAGUUUACAUUUGAUAUUAUUAUUAAGUUUUGAAAUGUUGAGUUUAAUGUCAAAAAGAUAUAGUGAUAUCACUAAUAGAUUACACAGGGUGCAUUUUCUUCUUUUAUGAUCACCUCAAAUAGUCUUUAAAAAAUGUAUGGCUUUGCUUUUUACUAAAAAUAAGAUGAUUUCAUAACUUUAAUAUGCUAGAAUAUGCUAGAAUCACAAAAUUUAGACUUGAAACUAUCAUAUAGACCUGUAGUUGUGGACGAUAUAGGAAAUAUAGACUUGAAACUAUCACAAACAUUCAUAUUUGUGAUUAGCUUUUGCCUUCCUUUUUCCAUCUUAGGGUUUUUUCUAUUUAUAUCAUAUCAAUGAUGAUAUAUAUUCAUUGAGACAUGGCCUAAUCAAUAUUUGAGUUGGGUGUGAUAGAAUAUCCCCAAAGAAUUUUGGAAAUCAAACAAUAUCAUAACUAAGGAAGGCAUCAUAGCCCUCAAAGAUCCACUGAAUAGGUAAUGGCCAAUGAAACUUAGAUUACUAAGCGAGGUCAUAGGUUAUAAGCUUGGGAUGUGGUUGGCAUGAGUUCUAUGAAUCCAACAAGCUCAAGGUAGGAGACGUCUGCUUCUUUGAGCUAAAUCCUGUCUUACUAGAAUCUCUAAAUCAUGUUUUGGAUGUUCGAACCCUUCUUCCACAAAAGUAAAUAUUACUUAUAUCUUGGUUGGUUGAUUCUCCAUGAUUUUUUGUUUUUGGUUAUGAAUGUUUUUGAAUUAAGAAAAACAUGUGGUGUUAGCUUGAGCAGAUUCUCUUAUCUGCCUUAAUAAUUUCCUAGUUGGAAUUUAGUUGGCUUGUCUACCACCUUAUUAAUAAUUUCCCAAUUGGAAUUUGGUUGGUUUGUUUACUUGUACAUUUGUUAUUUUAGAAUUAUAUAUGUACAUUAGUUAUUUUAGUUUUUUGCAUUUAAUUAUUUAACAUAUAAUUAUUAUAAUAUUUAUUUAAAUAUUUAAUUAUAUAUAUUAAAAAAUGGAAAUAUAUUAAACAAUCUAUUAAAUGGAAGAGAAAACUAAAUAAUAAUAUAUUAAACAAAUCAAAUGUCAAUGCACAAUUAACAUGGCUAACAUUGCAUCCAUUAUUAGGCUAUAAACCCCACAUCACCACCUAUAGCAGCGCGCAAUGUCAACUUGAAAUAAUAUGGAGGCUUAUAAUUGUGACUGACACUAUGCCCUCACAAUGUGAUCUUUAUGGUUAUAGGCAUAAGUUGUCAUAGUCGAAGAAAUUUUAGUUGCAGAAAAAAGUGGUUGUAACUAGAGAUUCACAGUACAAUACACAAUCACAUUUGGUCACAGCUACAUGAUUUAUUUACGCCCACUAUGGCCAUGCAAUGUCACGGCCUAUGUUGCACGCCCUUGUAUCAUAUGGUUACAAUUCAAUUUACUUUAAUUUGCAAACCUUGGUUGUAGCUAAACACUUAGCUUCUUGUAGUGUUUGUGGAAACUUUCCCUUUCCACCAACUUACGAUGUCAAGAUUAGGUUCAUCAUCUUCUACGUUAUUAUCUAAGUAAUGAUUUAAAUUAUUUUUAAUUAUGAAAGAUGAUUCACUUUUCAAGAAUUUGUGUUAAUCUUUCUUGUUCUUCCAACCAAUAAAAUGUUUUUUUUUUUUACUCAAUUGCAAAGACAAUUAUAAGAUACUGGAAUCCCAUGUUAUUAGUUCAUCCAAGACAGGGUAAUUCUUUCUUUUUUAAUGCAAUAUUUAUUGAAUAAUUGCAAUCUUGAAGGAAAAUUUUUCACAUAUUUCACAUAUUCAUAAAGUCAAACUAAGGUUCAAAAUGUACACAAAUACAUGAAGCAAUUCUCCAUCAAAAAAUAAUUUAAUCCUCUUAUUCAAUUGCUUUGUCAAACUCGAAAUUGUUGUAUCAUUGGAGCUUGCAUUAUCCACUAUGAUUAUACAUAUUUUUUCAAGACCCAACCUAACAAACAAGUCUCCACCGCUUGUGCAAUCAUUUCCCUAUAAUGUAGAAUUGGCAAAACAUAAAAAAUAAUUACUCUCUUUUACAACUUCCAAUCCUUAUCAGUAAAAUGUAUUUUGGAUGGAAGUUCACAUAUUAGUAGUAAAACACAUUGAUAAAGCACAAGUUUUAAAAUUUUCCCUUAAAUUCUAUUCACUCAAAUGUAUUUCUGCAUAAUCUUUUUUCUUGGUUGUUCAUGAAACCAAUUGAAACCUUAGUUGCAUAAAGUACAAAAUCUUUUAAAUCCCUUUUUCCUCACAAAACUAAUUGGCAACUCAUCAAUGAUAAUCAUUCUAGCGAGCUCUUUACAACAACUUAGUUAAAUUUUCAAUUUGCAAUAGUAUUUUGACUCUAUGGCAACAAUAUGAAACAAAUUUUUUUUUUCUCAUGAUCUCUGUUAUAUGGAUAUUUAGCAUAUAUUUCAAAAUACCUCCAAAGUGUGGUAGUUCCCUAAGAAUGAUUAAGCUUAAGGAUAGAACUACAGUAAUCGCAUGUGACUUGCUCAAUUUAGUAUCAUCAUCUUUUUUAAGUUUCAUGAAAUGGUCUCAAACAUUAGAUUUAGACUUAUAUAGGUUUUUUUGUGUUUGUGGUUCCUUAAUCUUCUCAAUGGCACUAUAACCUUAUUUCUUGAUCUUUUUUUUUUUUUUAUCUCUUAGUAUAUGUGUUUUUCUCGCCAAAUCAAAGACAUGGACUGCUUGUUUGUCACUUACAUUGUUGAAGGAAAAAGUUUAAGAGAAUAUGUUAAAUGUUUUAGUGAUGCAUUUACAAGUGGAGGGCUUUACAUCUAUUCAACUGCUCAUAUUGCAUUAAAAAAAAAACUUCUCAUUAACUUAGAUUUAUACAAAUCAUUUCACAAGAAAAAGCCUUUUAUAUUGUAUUAGUUUUUUUACAAGCACUUAUUAGUAUGCAAGACUAUAGGAAGGUAUAACAAUAAACACCUUAAAGGUAGUGGCUACAAUAAAUUCAAAAUGUAGAUAACCACUUUAUGGAUAAGAUACUUAUCAACCUAGUAAAUGAUCUUAAUAUAAUAAGUUUUCUAAAAGUUAUAGAGAUAAAAGGGGUUUAAGGUGUAAAGUAGAGAUGCUACAAUUGUUUUUUCCAAGUUAAGUGCACCUACUCUCAAGUCCAAGAGCUAAUAAAGUUAUAGGACUCAAAGUGGCCUCCGUAGCCCAAGGGAGAUCAAACCAAGAAGGAUACUAGUAGAUAUUGUGCUUAUUAUCAUACUCAUGUCCAUAAAACAAAGGAGUAUAAGAGCUUUAAGCAUGUGAUCAAGAUGCAUCUUCAUAGGGGACAACUUCAACAUUCUAGUUGUUAAUUAUAAAAUUUAAAAGGACUAAAAUUUUUAAUAAAGCUUAGGGACAUAUAGUAGUGCAGCUUUGUCCAAACAAGAUAGAAAGACUCAACAUAUCAAUGCAUCAUUGUUGUUUAGUAGGGCCAUUAGUUAGCAAAAAUGCAUCAUACAUCAAGUAGGUCUCUAGUGUCAUUAUAAACCUAAAAUUUUGGAAGCACUAAUCCAAAAAGAGCCCUCAUGUCUAAGAUGUAUGAAGAAAAUGUUGGGAUAAAGCCUUUAAAAGCAAGACAUGAUAUAACAAAAUUAGAUUUGACCUUCCACUUUUCACUUUUACAUGGAUAUUGAUUUUAGCAUUCACACCUAUAUCACAUGCAUUGUAUAUGACUUAGGUGUAUUAGGAGUUGCACAUAGAAUACAAUAUUAUGAACCUUGGAUUAAUUCGUUUCUUAGCCCAAGAUUUUGUAAGGUGCAUGCUAUGUAUCCUUAGGCACUCUAGAUUUAACAUAACAAAAAACAAUGGCUAUAAAAGCCAUAUUAAAACCUAGAUUUAGAGAUAUAGUUAUAUAACGUGAUCUAAAUGUUCCUAGAUUAAUUCAAAUCUAGAAAAAAUGUCGAUGAAGAUUCUAAAAUUGUAAAAAAAAACAUCGUAAAGUGCAUCUACCUGGUGUUCUUCCAUUGAUAUCUCCUCACAUGGACCUACACAUAAGAAAAAUGUGAUUUUUUUUCUCUAAAGGAUGACUAGGGUUUCUAUUUGGAAGAUGACAAACAAAAAGUCUAAAACCUAAACUCCCUAAGGAGGUUUAUAUAAGGCUUCAAUGGGCUUAAGUGACUUGAUCCCAAAUUGAGCUUAGGUCACAUAAUCCAUCUCACUUGGGUCCUAAUUAAUUAAUUAUCCAUAUUAGGAUCCAAUUAAUUAAUUAACUCGAUCUAGAAAGACCAUUCCUAAAAUCUAGUGUAAGUUAACACUUUUACCAAAAUGCCCUUAGGCACACGUAUGAACAAAAAACCUAAAUUCCUCAAAACAAAUGUGCCACCAUGAAUUAGAAGUUCAAGUGGAGAAUCUGUAGGGAAUAUAUGACCACUUUAGAGCCCACCCAUAGGUUAAAGCCUUAUGUUGAUUUCAGAAGAGGCUAAAUAUCCUCUUAAGGUUGAGAGUUUAUGCAAUAUAGUAUGUUGGUGAAUCAUGACAACCUAAUAGCCUUGCAUCAUGAUUUACCAUACAACUUAUUCAAUUAGAAAUCAUACACACUAUUAUACUCACCAUGUGAACCCCAUCCUGACAGGUAAGAUAAGUCAUCAUUCCAAUUUAGGAGAUAGUGCACUACAAUGUUUAUUGGAUUGCCUAAAUCCAUGAACCAACUAUGAACAACUUAUUAUCUUAUAAGGAACCUAUGACUUGUAUAUUCUGUAUAACUCCUAAUGCACCUAAGUCAUGUACAAUGCAAGUAAUAUGGGUUUGAAUGCUAAAAUAAAUAUCAAUGCAAAAGUAGAUAGCAAGUAGAAGGUCUAGUUUAACUUUAUCACACACCAUGUCUUGCUUUUAAGGAAUCUAUCUUAACAUACAAGUUAUGGGUACCUUGCAAGAUGAUAAGUUAUUUAUAGUCCGUUCAUAGAUUUGGGCAAUCCAAUAAAGAUUGUUAGUGCACUACCUCCUAAUUGAAUGGAUGACUUGUCUUGACCGUUAAGAUGAGUUCCCUAUGGUGAGUGCAUAGUGUGUACGAUUUCACAUUAGACAAGACCUAUGAUGGAUCAUGGCAUAAGCCUAUCAGUUGUCAUAAUUCAGCAAGCUACUAUAUUGCAUAGACUCUCAACUUUGAGAGAAUAUCAUGGCUUUAACCUAUGGGUGAGGCCUUAAAGUGGUUAUAUAUUCUAUAUGGAUAGAGUGACUAUUUGAUGGAGGUCGGUGGUAAGCAUUCUCAAUAGAGGCAUCAUAAUAUCUCAUUGGAUUAAGACAGUGUGCCCCAUUAGGUGAUCCAAAGGACAUGUGAUCAUUAAAAUCUAUGACCAUAGUAAUUCUUUAAGUAGAAUUUGACAUAUGCUAUUUAUGAGCUAAAAUAUGUCAAUUAAUCACAUAAUAGGAGGAUAUGUAACUCAAGAAUUGAAGAGGUAAUCAUGAUGAGUUGAUAGCACUAUCCUGUUAGAUUACAAACACAGUUCAUGAAAAGUCUACAUUCAAUGUAUAGUAGGUCACGAAAUCGAGCUUUGUCUUGUUGUAAUUUCAUAAGAUAUUGGAGUGCAUUUGAUUCUUUUUAGUAGAUUGUUGAGUCAAAUUCAAAUUUGGAUUUUAAGGAAGCCAAUAUUUUCCUAUAUGUCAUAGUGGUCCCCAUUCGAGCUUCUAGUUCAUCGUAACAUGUGUUGUUAAGGGAUUUGGGUUUAUAGUUCAUAAGAGUGUAUAAGGGCAUUUAGUAAAAAUGUAAAGUUGCACUAGAUCUUAUGAAUGAUCCUUUUGGAUUGGUGGAUUGGGUUGAUUAAUUAAUUAGGACCCAAAUGGGCUAGAUUAGGUGACCUAAGCCUAAUUGGGGUUCAAGUCACUUAAGAUAAUAAAGAACCCUAUAUAUACCCCCUUAGGGGUUUAGGUUUCAAGCUUUUAAAACUUUGUUCAUUAUCUUCCACACACACACACACAAAGAAAAUCUUAGCCACCCUUGAGAAAGGAAGAGAAGUUCACCAUUCUCUUAUACCAACAUCCAUGAAAGAAGAGAUCAAGUUAAAGAUUGUUGGGUGAAUGAGAUUCAAUAUAAGAAUAUCCAAAUCGCAUGUAUGUUUUUUUUAUCUCCAGAUCUAGUCUCUAUUAUGGUUUUUAUUGCCAUUUUAUUUGGUUGAGUUAGAUCUAGAAAGUCUAAGGAUAGAUAACAUGCACCCUAUAAUAUCAAGGACUAGGGGGUUCCUAAUAGAAAAUGGAAUAAUAGUCGAUUUAUCACCAUAAGAAGAUAAAUUUAUAGCUACAACCAAUCAACUAUAGUUAAAUGUUAAAAUUGCGUGACCAUAUUAAUAUUUGUAUAAUGAUUCUGGUUUUUCUUUCACUAUCUUAUGUUUAUGUAUUAUAUAUGUUGAGAUUUAAGACUAUCUCUUGCAUUAUACAUUACUUGGAUGCAUUAAGAGUUUCAUAGGCAAUCCAAGUCAUGGGGUCUUUACAAAUAGAUCAUUUGUUCACAAUCGAUUCAUGGAAUUAGACAAUCCAUUUGAGGUUGUUGUGCAUUACCUCCUAAUUGGAGGGAUGAUUGGUGUCUCUCAUCAAGAUGAGGUUAUUAUGAAGAGUGUAUUAGUGUGUAUAGUUACACAUUAAAUAAGACUUACAAUGAGUCAUGACAUUAGCUCUUGGGGAGUCAUGAUCUCACUAAGCUACUAUAUUGUAUGGUUUCUUAAGCUUGAGAGGAUACUAAACUUAUGUCAAGGUUUGCAAUGGCUUUGACCUAUGGGGUGGGAACCUAAGAUGAUCAUAUGUUCCCUAUGAAUUUGGUCACUAUUGAUGGAAGUCAAUGACAGUAAGUACUCUUAAUAGAGGCACCAUAAUAUCCUAUGGGAUUGACAUAGUGUGUUCCCUUGGGUAAUCUUAAAGACAUAUUAUCAUGAAAUUUGUGGCCCUAGUAUUCCUUAAGUGGAAUUUGACAUCUGCUCAUAUGAGCUAAAGAAUGUCAAUUGAUAAUAUUAUAGAAGGAUUUGUAACAUGAGGAUUGAAAAGGUAAUCUUAAAAGGUUGAUAACACUUACCUCAUUAGAUUAUAUAGACCGAUUCAUAGGAAAUUUGCAUGUAGUGGAUAGUAAGUCACAUACUCGAGUUCUUGUAUCUCAUUGCAAUAUACAUAGGAUACUAGAGUGUAAUUAACUCUCUAUAGUGGGAUAUUCAGUCAACUUUAAAAUUGGAUUAUGAGGUUACUAGUAUUUUUUCCAUGGAUCCCAAUGCUCCUUGCUCAAGCUCGUAUUCCAUGAUAUUAUGGUUUAAUAGGGUUAGUUGAACUCUCUAUUCACAUAUUUGCAUAAGUGCAUUCUAGUAAAAAUGUGAGGUUGCACAAGAACUUAUGAAUGAUGUCUUUAAACUAAGCUAAUUGAUUAACUAGAACCUACUAAGGUUAAUUAAUCAAUUGGGACCGAAGUGGACUAGAUUAAGUAACUCAACCCUAAGAUGAACUCAAGUCACUUAAGCUCACAAGAAGGCUAUAUAAACCCCCUUAGGUGUUAGGGCUUAGUUUAGUCUUCUUAUUCACUUUAUAUAAAAGAAAGAUUUAGCUACCAACUCUAGAGCGGAUUCCCACCCCUUUAGUGCUAGGAUUCAAGAAAGAGUCAUUAUGAUAGAGGAUCAUUAGGUUUGUGAGAUUUACGACGAUUAUCGCACCUUCAACACAUCUCUUAAUCGAUAGGAUCUGAUAUAGGAACAUCUAGAGCUUAGUUAUGAUCUUUAUUCUUUUUAGAUCUAUUUUAUUUAUGGUUUUUAUUGCCAUGAUAUUCUCUGCGAUUAGAUCUAGAGAGACUUAAGUCUAAUAGCAUGUACCCUAAGCAAUCUAGGGCUAGGAAUGGAGUAAUCCAAGGAUUCCCAACAAAACCCUUUUAAGAGUUUAGUUUAGAUCCUCCUAGCCAUUAUCUUCUAGAGAGGCUCCAUGUCUUUCUCUUUCUCUUUCUCUCUCUCAUAAAGGUUGUGUAGUCAUUCAACCCUAGUGCCAAAGCUCAAAGAAUGAGUGACUACGUGGAAGAUAACUAGAUGUGAUUAGAUAUAAUGUUCUUAGAUUGUUAGAGAACAUGCACCCAUGAUCUAAGGGUAUCCCAACAUUGUCACCAUUGUUUUUUAGCCCAUACAAAAUCCUAUAACAAAUUAGAAAAGUGGCUUAUAAAUUGGAGUUACCUUUAGGAACUCUAAUGCAUCCAAUUUUCCAUGUUUCUUGCUUAAAGAAAUGAAUAGAUGAAUCCGUCAUUCCUCAAUCAGAACUACCACCCUCUCAAGAAGAUGGAUGUAUAAAGUUGAAGCUAACUACAAUCUUGGAUCAUCGAGUAGUCAAAAGAAAUAACUGGGUUGUGACAUAAGUGCUAGUCUAAUGGUCAAACUUAGUCUUGAAAGAUGCCACUUGGGAGGUCUUAUAUGAGUUACAAAAAUUUUAUCCUUGGUUUCAACCUUGAGGGCAAGACCAUUUUGGAGAGGGAAGAAAUGUAAAAAUUAGGAAAUCAGGCCACUAUCAGAGCAUAAUUGAGAAGGCUAUUAUGAGUGAAUCACUGAUCAUGUCAUCCUUAAUUUUAUUCUAAUUAUUGUUAAGAACAAGGUUAAUAGAACAAGGUUGGACAAAACUUCUCUUCUAACACCUUUGAACAUGACAAAAAAUUAUCAUUGUGAAAAACAAUUGAGAAUCUAGUGUGAUGAGGGGGCAUCAUCAAGAUCGUUAAACUUGUCUAGAUAAGAGAAACUUAGGGUUUUUAAAUUCAAAUUUCAGACUCAAAACAAAAUUGUAGAGCAGUAGAUACAAAACAACAAGAAUCAAAACAAAAAUUACCACAAAAACCUUAGAAAACUAGAGCCAAGGGAGGGAAGAUGACUUAUGAUUAAACUUCGAUGCUUUCAUGUCAAACUGUAUGAGUAUGGGAGUUGGAGAAGAGGGGGGCACAAAAGAUGUGUUCGACUAUAAUUUAUAUGGGACAUAUUGCAACGGUCAAGCCCAUAAAUCCAUAUGGUAGCGCUACUGAAUAAAGGCCGAGACUAUAGGACCAUCUAUGGCAGUGGCCCAAAAAAUCAAUGCAGCUAUGGAAAAAGUUAUAAUUAUUAGACAUGGGUUUAACAAUGGCCAUGACUACAUAUUUUUUUGAGUAAUUUUCCUGCCAAUACCUAUUCCUUUAGAUACAGUUGGAAUAUUUAUGAAGCUAAUAUAUACCUAUGCCGCUACAUCCUAUUUUUCUUGUACAAUAUGCAAUAUUCUACUUGCAAGUUGGUAGCCAUUUCUUCAUCUUUUGGAGUCGGCGUGAGCCUUUAAUUACUUAUUUAAUUACAUUUCCAAAACGCCUUUAUUCUUGAAAGAUCAUAUUGUCGCAUAUCUAAUAGACUUGCUUUCCUCUAAAGAAUGAGGCGUGUCUACAAGAUGAGAUCUCACCACAUCACAAGAAAUUUAACUGGUUAGGGGUGAUGGGGAAUGCCUUGAUAUCAAUCUAGCCCUAUUUAUUAUCUAUUUGCCAAGAAUUCAUUUUGUUGCACGAGAGCAAGCAUCUGGUAGGUGUGCUACAUUCAUUUAUUGUUGCCUCAUGUUCAUGAAAUUAGUAGGAAGAGUGCUCUUCCUUCAUCAUAUACUCUUCUUCCAUUGAUUUUUCUAUCUAUUCCAACAUUGGGACAGUUUUUAACAAGCGUCCACAAGACAAUGCUCAAGUGUACGAGUACAAAAAUUUUGCCUACUGAAAAUAUCUUUUUCUUUUGUAGCUUCAAUAAAAAUUCUCUCAAAAAAUGACACGAAGAAUUGCCAGUUAUAACCAAUGAUGAAAAUAUCGAUAAUCAUGGAUAUAUCGGUACUUUGAUUUUACGGAUAUAUCGGACAUAUAUCGGCGAAUAUUUUGGAAAAAAAUAUCGAUAAGCCUAAAAUUGAUUAAAAUUUAUAAAAAUAUAAGAAAAACUUCAUAAAAAUGUAAUUAGAAGUAUAAUAUAUAUUUUAAAGUUGUUUUAUUAAAGAAUUUGAUAUAUGUAUAAUAUAAUUUAUUAUAUUUGAUAAUAAUAUCGUAUGCAUUGAUAAUAAUAUCGUAUGCAUUGAUAAAAAUAUGAAUUUUAUAAGUAUACAUUUAUUAUUAAAUUAUAUCAAAUAUUAUUUUAUAAUAAUAUUAUGAUAUUUGAUUAUAAUAUGUCUAACUAAAAAAUAUAUAUUAAUAUUAAAAUUAUGAUCCAUUUAAUUCAAUUGUAUUAAAUGAUAUAAAAUAAAUUAUGAUAUAUGUACAAUUUUUUAAUAUUUAAUUAAUUUAUUAAUGAUAUUAAAAACACUAUGAAGAAAAUUAUUAUGAUAAUUUUUAUAUUUUUGGUAAUCAAUUAAAAGAAAUUUUUUGUAUUUAAUUAUAAAAUAAUUAUAAUUAAUUUGCUCUCUAAAAUUUUCUUUACAUGAUGACUUUGAAUAUAUAUUUUUAGUAUAAUAUAUUUAACAAAGGGCAAACUUGCCUUAAUGGUCUGAUGAGUUGAACUCCAAACCUUUUGUUUUGAGUUCGAAUCCUUUCAACGGCACAAAAAAUAAGCAUUUUUGAGAGCUUGCUGUAGCGGGGGGAUCACCAAAAUAUCGUUGAUUUUUUUCUUUUAAGCCGUUUUUUUCCCAUUAAAUUGGCGAUUUAUUGCCUGAUGCCGAUAUAUCAAUGAUAUAUUGAUGAUUUUUUUUGCCAAUUUUCAACCAUUUUUUUCCUCUCUGAUUUUUCUUCAUAAAAUAUCGUGUUGAUGUCUCCUGAUACACGAUAUAUCGUCAAUAUAUCCCAACAUUUUCCUCCUUGGUUAUAACCAGACCAUGUCUAGCAAAAUAAUCAGAUAAUCACAUGUCCAAGUACUUUGUGAUUGAAUGCCAGUCAACAUUGAAGACAAUAUUCGUCAAGUUGGAUGCUCCUUUCCACCAUUAUGGGCACUAUCAGAGGCUGGUGUAGGAUGGUAAGGUGAGUAUCACAUAGGGACUAUUUUUUUAUUAUGAUCAAUCAUCAUUUCCUAUAUCAUAAGGAAAUCAUUUCUUUAAGAAAAUGAUUUUUUUUUCUUUGACAUAAUUUAUAUUUAGGACAUGAUUUCUUUUUUCGAAACGUAAUGUUUAUUUUAAAAUCAUUUUCUUUCAAAAAUAUAAUUUUCAUUUUGAAUGUCUUUAAAUAAAAGUUUCCUAAAAUAUGGCUUCGAUCCCGCUUGGUUUUAGGCUUACUCACUUUUAGGCCUUAUUUUAUAACUAUUUCAAAAAACAAUUUUAGAAAAUAGUUUUUAAAAACAAUUUUUGAAACUAUUCUUUAAUGUUUUGUAAAAAAAAAAAAUAUGUUUGAGAACUUGAGAUGUUUUAAUAUGUUUUUAAUAUUUUUAAAUAUAUUUUAAGAAUAAUGUUUAUAUUUAGUGUUUUAUUUGUAAUAAUUUUAUAUGUUUGUAUAAUUAUUUUUUAAAACAAUUAUAAAAGAAUAAGUAUAAAUAAUUGAAAAUAAAAUAAAUAUGUUCUUUAAAAACACUAAACUUUGUUUUCCUUUUUUUUUUUUUAAACAAAAAGAUAGAAAAUAUAUAUAUAUAUAUAUAUAUAUAUAUAUUUUUGUCACAUGUGUUUUUUCAAUUUUUUUAUUCCUAAAAGAAAAGAAAAUAUAAUGUUUUUAGUUCUUAAAAAUAUAUAAUAGAAAACAGUUUUUUGAUUGUUAAAUACGUUUUUUAUUUUAUUUUUUAUUUCUAAAGAAUAUAAAUUAUGCUUAAAAAUAGUUCCAAACAAAACCUGGUUACUUGGUGACAUUGUGAGUAUUUUAAAAAAUAUUUUCUUGUGUACAUUUUUGCAAAAUUUUAAGGCAACUGUAUAAAAAAAAAAAAAAAAAAAAGUUUUGAAGGCUUCACAGCUCCUUUAUGGGCUUCUUCCGGCCCAUUCCAGCCCGGCCCUUUUUCAACCCCAGAAGAAGCUCCUAGUAACGCGGCACCGCCGGCCUUCCCACCGCUCGAAUAAAAUCCAGAGAAUUCGAAACGAAGAGUAAGCGAAACGAGAAAUGGAACCAGAAACAGCGCUAGGGCUUGUACGGAAUGGUGCUACCCUUCUGCUUCUCGACGUGCCUCAGUUCACCCUUAUUGGCAUUGAUACACUGGUAAUUUCAAAACGUAUCAUUUCACUACUCAGAAAAUUUGGGAAAAUAAAAAUUUUCAUCGUACCAGUGGACCAGUCGUUGUGUUAAUUCAGUUUCAUUUUAAAUGAAACCAGAGGGGAAAUUUUGUGUGACGCUCGAUUUGGUUUAUUUAUUUAUUUUUUAAUUUAUUUUAACCUUAGUUUUCUAGGCAACCAAACUGCGGCUAGUGUGUUUUCUUACUCUCAAUUUUUUAAUAUUUGAAUUAAGUCUUGCAUUGAUACUUAAGGGAAAUUCAUCUCUUUGUUUGUCUUCUGAGAAAAUGUUUUGGUGGUGUGGCUGUUUAGUUCUUUCGUAGAUGCCUAACUUACCUUCGUUUGGUAUCUUUCCUAAUGCGGUGUAGCUUUGAAGGUGUUAAAAUUUGGAAAUGACAUAUCUUAAAGUGAUCAGUCCAGAUACAUUUACUAUUGACUUAUAUCAAGCCACAUACCAGCGGUUCAACAUUUUUCUGUUUUUGAGUACCAAAUUUCAAUUAAUAAAGUCACUCUUCAGCAUCAUGUGGUGCUGGGCUUAAUUUCUAGUUAGGUUGGUUCUGUUUCAAAACUGAUUCCAACGGCUUCUUUCUUCCUUUCUUUUUUCUUCUUACUAUUAUGUUUGAUGUGCGCAGGUGAAGUUCUGUUUAAUACCUAAUUUAUAUUCUGUAUUCAUAAAAAAAAGUAUUUGGGUCUUAAUGGUUACUCAUAAGAUUGAUGUUAAAUCUCUUGCUGCACUUUGGACAGUUGCAUGACUAAAUUUGCAUUUUGCAGAAAUUUUGCAGAAAUCCAGCUUUUCUUUUAUUUAUACUUGUAAUCAUGUCAAGGCUUACGAUUUUAUGUUUUUAACUUGUUAAUAGUAGCUGCUGGAUUAAAUCUAUUUUGCAGAUGUUCUCUGUGGGGCCAGUUUUUAAGGGUAUUAAGAUGAUUCCUCCUGGCCCUCAUUUUGUAUAUUACAGUUCAUCGAACAGGUGAGUUUAUAUUUUACUUUCAUAUUUAUUCAACUGUUUCUUGACUUGUUUGUUGGUAGGUAUUUCUUUUCAUAUUAAUAUUUCUCUUUUCUUUCUGUCUAUCAAUAUGUUCUUAUAUUACUUGUUGAGAAUGAUUAGCAGGUUGAUCAAUUUUUAUCUUUUCUUAUGCGUCUAUCUUCUCCAAAACUAGAAUCCUCAACAGUGCUCCUUCCAGCACACACCUAUACAUGCUUUUUCACAUUUUUUUGACAUGUUUAGUUGGGAGUUGACUUUAAGCAAACAUACAUGUUCUUGUUUCUUAACUUUUUGUAUGAGACAAAUUCUUGCUUCUAAAUUUUCAAUUCAAAUUUAGUUAUGCUUUUGUGUUCAUUUGUGCUAAGCUGUUCUAGUAUCUUGGUAUGCAUUGUUUUUCCUAGAGACACCAUGGAGAUUUCACCAAUAAGUUGAUGGUUUUGUGCUAUAUGAUCUUGCAAUAUUCUUUAAUAAAUCUUGUUCUAACAGCAAUAGUAAAGAACUUUAUGCUUGGAGUCAAUGGCAAAGUGGAGGACACUCUUAUGUGUAUUAAUUCCAAGGUUCAAAAGCUCGGUGGAGAUCAAUAUGUCUCGGCUGAUUCGCAUCCGCCUCGUCCAAGACCAAUAUGAUACCAAUAAGCGAGUUCUAUAUUUUGUUAAAUCACCAAGUGGAUCAGCCAACUGGAAGAUGAAUCUAUAGUUUCGGGAUGAUUCAUGACCUCGGAAUGUUGCAGAGGCUAGUGCUUAAGUGAGUGAUGGUAAUGAUGCCUGUGAACCCUCUCUUUGCCUUUAGGGAUUUAUGCUAAGAAUGAGAGAAAAGAAAUGGAGUGGAGAAGAAAGGGUAAGAAUAUGGAGAAGAUUGGAAAGACAGAGAGGAGUAGCAUGCCUUCGGGAUCUUCUCUGCUACUGCAACUUCAUCCAUGGCAACUCAUGAUAUGGGAAAUGGGUAUUCAUGGGGUAAUGGGUAAUUGCAAUUUGAAGGGUUGGCUGAGCUUAAAUGAGCAAAUCGGUAGUUUAUGGGAACCAUGGGAAUUUUGGUCAUUGGGAAUUAGGGUUAAAUUGGCAGUGGGUAUGGGUAUUUGAUAGAAAUUUUGGUAUCUGGUGGAAAUUUGUGUUUUCAUGAAGAUUUGGGUUUUUUUGAAAUAAAUAAACCAUGGAUAUUGAUAUAAGGAAAAUAUAAAAUCAGUUAUAGGUUAAAAAAUUGGAUAUUGAAAUAAUAUAAGAAUUUAUCAAUUAGUUAAUACUAAUGUUAAUUAAUUUUAAAAAUUAUAAUUAACUAAAUUUAGUAUAGAGUGAUUAAAUAAAAAAAUAAUUUUAGAUAAUAUUAUGAACUAAUCCAAAUGUCUAUUUUUAUACUUAAAUAAUAUUACAUUAGUAAAUGUUAUUUUAUUAUUUUUUGAUGUAUGUAAGUUUAUUUAUUUUUCUGAUAAUCUUCAUAAUUAUUUUAAAAUUUUUUGAUUUUUAAAUUAUGAUAUUUUUCGUAUUGCUUGAUAUUGAUCCGAGACACCAAGACUGAUACACCUCAAGACCUCCCGAUUCAAUGAUUGAUACCACAACUUUGAACCAUGAUUGAUACUCAUUUGCUUGUAGUCAUGUGUUGUAAUGGUUUGGUGGAUUGUCAUUUUUAACUUGUUAGACCAAAGUUUGAGGAAUCUCUUUAUCCGAUCACUAUUAGAGUGGUCUCAACAGUUUUUGGAGUUAGACAGUCCCUCUUUACUGAAUUUUUUGGAUGCUCUUCAUUGUGGAUAGCCUUCUCUCUCUCUAGGUCUUUUUUUUUUCUUUUUCUUUCUUUUCUACAGCCUAGUUGGGCUCUUGUUGUAUACUGCUUGUAUACGUAUGGUGUUUUUGGCGUUUCUUAUUUCAAUUUGCCUUUGUCUAUCAAAAAAAAAAAAAAACUGCAAUGAGAAUAAUGUCAACUAAAAAAUGUUUUAGUGCUUGCAUAUUAGACAAUAAAGUAUGAACAACAUCCAAUAAGUGACAAUGCUUUCACUUAGCAACACCAUUGUAUUGGGAGGUGUGAGGACAACUAAUUUGGUGAAUGAUACUAUCAUCCAAUGCAUAUAAAAUUGAAAUUUUUUAAUACAUUAACAAAAUUGAACAAGAGCUUCAUUGUAGAAUUUAGGAAUGAUAAAAGUAGUUUAUAUAUGAUCCAUAGUUUUAAAAGGUGAGCUUUAAGGCCUAAGGCACAACCACUCCCUUGUUGUAGCACCUUGCUUGUCAAUUCAUGCGCUUUGUUGAAGAGGCACACCUUGUCUAUUUUACUUUUCCUUUUUAAACACUUUUAUUCUUGAAAUUUCUAGUUGUAUAUUAGAAUUUAUAUAAUUUCAUUACUUUUUUGUUGAAUACUUCUUUCAAAUGUUUGAAUUCUUUAAUGUUUUAUUGGUUGAAUUAGAUUUUGAAUCAUACUUUAUAAGAUGAAUAUGAAUCUUAGGUUAUGUUUUACUUCAUUCAGGCGCACACUUUGAGUUGCGUCUUGGGCCUAAGCUGUAGGAAACUUUUGAGCCUUAGUUGCACCUUGCACCCUUUAAGACUAUGAUAUGAUCAUCAACAAAUAGAACAAUAUAAAGAAAUCCAUUCAAACUUGUAAUUUGAGAAGGAUCCCAAAUAUCAAUUUGGGUUACAUUAAAGGACUGAAAUUGAUGACUAUGACUGUGACUUGGAAAGGAGCUUCAUUGAUUCAUGCCUAAUUGACAAUUUUCACAUUCAAAACAGGAUAUACACUCAACAUAGGUUUAAUUAAAUGCAACUUUGCCAAAGAUAGAUGACCUAAAUGGAAAUCCCACUAAAGAGAUGAGACUGGCACUUGAUAAAAGAAGGUUUACCAAAGUUCAUCUUUCUCUUGCCCUGAACCAAUCAUUCUCUGUACUGAGGUCUUGAACAAUUUAUGAAGUGGGAGUCAAAGUUACGGAACAAUUUAAGACUUCAGUAAGUUUACUUACAGAAAGCAAAUUGAAUAAAAAGUUUUGAACAUAGAGACUAGAAGGUAAUAACAACUUAGUGCAGUGUAGGACACCUGGUUCAAGAAUAGACCUACAAGAGUCAUCAACUAAAACAAUACAAUGUUUCAUAGGUUUUAGAUAAGAAAGGAUAAAAUAAUUUAUCAAAUAUGUUGGAAUUAGCUCUAGAGUCAAUGCCUAGCAUGGAGAGGAUAGGCUACAAUGUAGGAAUACUUGAAUUGGCUAAAAUAAUAGUCUAAGAUGAUGGAAAAGCAACUUGUAAUGUCUAGAUGAGCUUGUUAAGUUGAGUGGUGCAUCUAUCAGGAGAAUUGAAGUCAAGAAUUGCAUAUCCAGGUGCAUUUGAAGGUUGUGGUGCUUGUGUAGUGCCAUCAGUGAUUUGAUGCAUGCAAUCUGAUGUACUAUAUUUUACCUAACAGUAAGGAUCCCUAUGAUUGGUGCUAAUAGUCUGAUAACACUUCCUAUCAACAUGUCCACCGGUACAACCAACCCCACGAGAACUAUCAUGGAAGCCCACAACCACCAUGACCAUCAAGGACCAUUAUGACCUUUAGUGUUGGAGAUCAAGGCAAAAGAUUUUAGAGGAGCCACAGCAGAGCCUUCUGCUAAUGAGGGCCUCAAUAAUUGUGAAUAUGCAAAAAUGGUAUGGUUUUGCUGACAAGAGAAUGAUCUUUAAAACCAUAAAGAUUUGAGUGUAAGCCAGAUAACUAUGAAGCAGUCAUAAACUCCUCCCAAUGAUACUUCCAUUGUGCUAGGUCAGCAAUGAAAGACAGACAUUGCAAUACUUGAUCACACAAGUUUUUAAGAAUGCUAUAGUAUUUGGAGAAUGGUUUUCCCAACUGCUUAAUGGAGAAGAUUUUCUUAGGCAACUAAUUAUUCUUUGAAACAGUAUUCUGUUGCAAAAACAACUCAACAAGUGAAUCCAAAUCUUCUUAUGCCUUAGCCAUUCCAUGACAAUGGAGUUGUUAUGCAAUCUUCAGUCCCUAUCCUUUAUAUUUGAAGGAGGAUUUUUUGUCUAAGUAUUUCAAGUUCUUGUGCCUAUGUAGAAAGUUCUGGAAGCAUGGCCAUAUGCAAGGUAAUUAACCCAUUUAAAAAUUUUCGAUACAGUUUUUUGACAAUCGGUAUCUCAUUGUCCUUGAGGCUUGUAAUUUAUCAUACACCUUGAGAAAUCUGGAAACUGCAUUUGCAAGAAAAGAAUAAGCUUGAAUCUUGAGAACCAAUGGCUCCAAAGCUUCAACACUUGAAUCACCCUUGAAAAUUUUCAAAAAUCAAAUAAAUGAUCUUCAAAACAUCAAAAUCAACCUGUCUGAAUUUCACAUAACACAAAAAAUCAUAGCAUGCCUUCUUGUAAAUAGAAAAAUGAAUCUGUCCAAACUUUCAGUAACAAAUGUACCUCCAAAAACAAGCUGUCAAAUCCAUCCAAAGCCAUAAAAACACUUUCAGAUUCAACAAAUUAGCAAAUCAGACAAUACUUAAAUCAUUUCCUAGCUUGGGUGCACCAUAUAGUGACAAUCUAAGCUAACAAGAACCACAAAACAGCCCCAAAUUCCAGAGAGAAACCAUGAGGACUGAAAUUCUUAAGAUCAUAGAAAAGAUAGAAAAUUUCAAUCAAAUGGCCACAAGUAAAUUGGAAAGUAACACCAUAAUUAUUAGAAAAAUCAAUUUGUGCAACCAUAGAAAUUACCUAAUUCUGGGAUUUUUUUUUAAAAAAAAAAAUUUAUUUUACUUUUAUUUUGGGGUGAUCUAUCUAAUGUUCAAUAAACUCUAGGAUUGAUCAAUAUUUUAAUGUAAAGUUAAAAGUAAACUUGUGAGAUUAGGGUUAAGGUUUGGAAAAAGAAGAAGAAAAGGGAAAAAGAAAGUGUAGAAAGGUUUGGGUUUGUCUAAGUUGACUUUCUUUUGCCUUGUAACAUAUUUAUAUUAUUAAAUAACAAUGUUUUUUAAAGGCUAAAGGCCUUCUUGAGGUGUUUUGCCCAAAUGAGGCGAGGUGUAAGCCUUGAGGCAAAAAGAGGCAUAAGCCUCAACUUAAACAAAUAAAUAACAAAAUAUUAUCAAAAGGUCAUAAAAAUACUCAUAAAGUCAUAAGAAAAUUGAAUAAUAAAUAAGGCAUAAACUUUGGAGUGAUAAAAUCAAUUAUUUGUUAUCGUUAAUAGAUUCUAAUUACUUUUUUUUUCUUUGUUUUAAAAUUUUGCUCUCUGUCAUGAUUUUAUCAAAUAAUUUUCAACAUUACUAUCACUGUAACUAGUAGGAUCCUCCAAGGAAUAUAAUAAUAUCCAAUGUCUACAUUAUCCUCCCAAUUAGUGUUAAUAUCCACCAAUUCUUCUUCUUGAUUCAUCAAUUCCAGUGGUACUUUUUCUUAUCUAUCAAUAAUAAGAUAAUGAUUACAUAUAAAAUCAGCCAAUAAGAAGACAAACGAUUCCCUAAUCCUACCUUUUCAAUCACUUUUUCCCCUUUCAUUAAAGAUUAAUUAGAAGAAAACUAUGCUCUCAUUUCCUAAAAGGUUCAACUAAGUUGGGACCCAAUACAUAACUCAUGAAAUUUAUAUCAAAAGCCCACAAAAGCAUAGAUUCUAAUAAAAUCCAAGAUAUACCAAAUGCUUAUAAAGGUCGAAGACCCUUUAUCACCAUAACUGGUAGGAUCUUCAGGGGAAUAUAAUAAUAUCUAAUGUCUACAUUAUCCCCCCUAUUAGUGUUAAUAUCCACCAAUUCUUCUUCUUGAUCCAUCAAUUCCAGUGGUACUUUUUCUUAUCUAUCAAUGAUAAGAUAAUGAUUACAUAUGAAAUCAACCACUAAGACAACUAACAAUUCCCCUAUCCUUCCUUUUCAAUCACUUUUUCCCCUUCCAUUAAAGAUUAAAUAGAAGUCAACUAUGCCCUGAUUUCCUAAAAGGUUCAACUAAGUCGGGACCCAAUACAUAACUCAUGAAAUUUAUAUCAAAAGCCCACAAAAUCAUAGAUUUUAAUAAAAUCCAAUAUAUACCAAAUGCUCAUAAAGGUCGAAGACCCUUUGGAUAUUUGAGACUUAGGCCUCAAUAGCCUUGAAGCUAUAACCUCAAAGCUAUAAGCCUUGAUAGGGUGAGACGUAAGCCUCAAUUACCCUAACUGAGGCUAUAACCUCAAGGCAUAAGCCUCAAUAGCCUUUUAAAACAUUGUUAAAUAAGAUUAGAAAAAAAAAAAAACCUAAGUAACCAAUACAUAAAAACUAAUGUAUAAAUCUAAACAUUAGUAUAGCGUUAGCCCUAACAUAUGUAAGUUGUGUAUGGAACAAGGAGAAUCAGCAGAUCAUCUCUUCCUUCAUUGCUCAGUUACGUUGGGGUUGUGGCACAGACUUUUUCAGCUAGCCAAGAUGGAUUGGGUUCCUCCGAAAAGCAUUUCAGACAUGAUGUUCAUCAAUUACAAAGGUUUUGGCAAGUCCAAGAGAGGGGUAAUUCUAUGGCAAAACGCAAGUAUAGCGUUAAUCUGGGUUGUGUGGCGUGAAAGAAACGCUAGGAUAUUUGAGGAUAAGGCUAGGAAUGCAGGGAAUCUUUGGGAUUCCAUCCAUUUCCUUGCGUCUCUUUGGGCGUUUUGUUCAGCGGGUUUUAAGGGCACCCCCCUUAACGUACUACAACUUGAUUGGUUAUCAGUGUGUAGUUCAAAUAGUUCUAUUGGGACGGUCUAGUGCUUUGUUAUUUUUUCUUGUUGUCUAGUUUCCAUUUGGAGGGAGGAUUUCUCAUCCUCCUUUUGUACUUCUUUUCUAUCAAUAUAUUCUAGUGUGGUUUCCUAUCAAAAAAAAAAAAUGUAUAAAUCUAAACAAAACAUAACAAAUUAUAGUAGACUCUUGACAACAUUUUCACUACUUAAUGAGAUUGGAAGGCCAUGUCUCUAAAUGAAAAUUUGGGUUGUAACAAUCAAAUGCUUUGAUUGGUAAACUUUAUGAUGUGCAAAGCUUUAUGAUAUUUGAAAUGUGCACUUUCUUUUUCUUAAAUUUUUUAAGACAUUUAUCCCAAUUAUUGACAAAGCAAUCCCGAUUGAUACCCAUUAUCCUACAACACUUAAAUACUAAUGAGGGUUGAACUUGAGAUCCGUUGAGCUAUACCUUAGGGGGCUUGAUUAAUGGGCACGCUUAUUUGCUUUUCCCGAUUAUUGAAUUACUAAAACAUUAUCACAAUUUGGAUUCUUCAUUUCUUGUUGGUUUGCAACAUUUUAAUGAUUUUUUUUUUUUUUUUUUACACCUUUCAUGGUAAGAAAAAAAAAUUUCAAAUUCAAAGAUCCACAUGGAUUUGAACCUAAACCCACUAUAAGGAAACAAAUUAAGUGGAUAAACAUUCGGGGAGUCAUGAAACUAUUUCAUUAACUCUUCUCUUUGUUAUUUCCUUUAUGGAUGGUUAUUUUCUUCUUAUCAUCAAUAUUAGACUCUAUAAAUCUAUGUGUUUUAAAAGGCUAUUGAGGCUUACCUUAUGAUGAGGCUAUGCAAAUUCUGUUUUGUUAUUCCGUUAUAUAUAUAAUCUUCUUGUUGCUUAUUAAAAAAUAAAUAAAUAAAAUAAAAAUGGUGAGGCUAUGCAAAUUAGCUUUGAGGAUAUAGCCUCAUCCAAUUGAGGUUUAAGGCUCAAGUAUUCAAAGGGUUUUAAUACAUAUAGGGAUUUUUAUACAUAUUUUAUAAGAUGUUUAAGCCUUAAUAUUCAAUGGUUUUAAGGAAUUGUGCUUUUGUGAGGUUUGGUAUAGAUUUUUAAGUUUUGUCUUGAGUUCAAGGCUAGGGUUAGAGUGUGUAUAUAUGAUCAUUUGAUGACCAUGAUAGGAUUUUGUACUUGCCUUCUAGUGCGUAUUCUAUACAUUGUGUGUGCCUUUUUCUUAAGUGUUGUUAAUAUAAAUAUAUAUAUAUAUAUAUAUAUAUAUAUAUAUAUAUAUGUAUGUAUGUAUGUAUAGGGUUAAACCUUUUAUAAAGUGAGGACUUGGUUAGCUACCAAUUAAUCCUUUAAAUGGAGAGGGAAUGAAGAGAUUGGGAUGAUGAAAUAAGGGAGUUGUUUUUUAUUUAUUUAUUUAUCAGAAACGAAGAAAUACGUAAUAAUAGUAGUAAAUAUACAAAAGAAGCCUCUAUAGUAGUAAGAAAAGGAUGAGAGGUCCUUCCUUCAAAACACAGAAUCUGAUCAAAGAAGAAUGCACCCUUCUACAGAAAACAAUAUACAAAGAAAUCCUCAACUAUCUCAAACUUUUGAAUCACAAACUACAGUCCAAUUGAGUUGUAAAACACUAAGAGGAACUCCUCUAAAAGCUGCAGUGCAAGAGGCCUAAAGAGAGGAAUAGAAUAGAAGUAAAUCCCAUAACAUUCCUUCCGAUCUUCCUUUAUCCUAAAAAAUCUUAGCAUUUUUCUCUUGCCACACAAUCCGCAACAAAGUAAGGCAAGUGGUUCGCCAAAGUGUCUUGCCUCUAAGUGAAUUCCCCAAACAUCUAAAUGCAAUAAUCAUCAUGUCCUCAAUACUCCUUGGUGGAACCCAAUCCAACCCUACUAGAUUGAAGAGUUUGUGCCAAGGCCUAAUAGUUAAAGGGCAAUGAAGAAAAAGGCGGUCAAUCAAUUCCCCAUUUCCUUUGCAUAGAAUGCACCAUUGAGAACAAAGGGAUUUGUAAGGUCUUCUCAACUGCAGCUUGUCAUUGGUGUUUAGCUUCCCAUGUACUACUAACCAAGCAAGGGCCUUAACCUUUGAAGGGGCUUUUGAUUUCCAUAGAAACUUGGCUAGAAAGAGCAAGACAGGAUUUCAGAAAUUUAACUAGGCCAAAAAAAAAAAAGAUUUAACAGUAAACAAGCCUAAUGACGACAAAGACCAAACUCUUGAAUUUGCCAUAGAAGGAGAAAAAUGCACUGAACUAAGGGAGGACAUGAGUUUCUGAAGGUGUUCAAUUUCUGUAUCAGUGAGAUUACAACGAAAAUUAAAAUUCCAAGAAAGUGGAUAGGAAUUACCAAGGACAAUUGAGACGGUGAGGUUUUUCAUAAAAAUAACUCUAUAAAGAACAUGGAGUUGAAAACAUAAAGGUUGAGUACCCCACCAUAGAUCUUCUCAAAAAGGGAUUCUCUCCCCAUUCCUCACCACUAGACAGAUAAAUGGGGAGAAAUCUUGGAAAACUUGAGCAAUGGCCUUUUAAGGACAUCUGUGUGACCAUCUAACCACCAUGUUGGCAUCCCAUCCAUUAUGAUGUGUCCCAUAAAUACUUGCAAUAACCUUAUGCCAAGGACCACUUAUUUCCCUAGGGAACCUUCAAAGCCAUUUCCCUAAGAGAGCAACAUUUCUCAAGGAAGUCUUCCCAAAACCUAAACCUCCCAACUCAUUUAGCUUACAAACAACAUCCCACCUGAUAAGAUGAUCUUUUUUCCUUUCCCCCACCCUAGACUAAAGGAAAUCCCUUUGCAGCUUCUCUAUUUUUGAGGCUAUUGAUAUUGGGAUUUUGAAAAGAGAGAGGAAGUAGCUUGGGAUGUGAGACAGACUUGAUUGAAUUAAAGUAAUCCUCCCCCCUAAAGACAAAAAAGCCUUUUUCCACCCAUCCAACCUUCUUGAUAUUUUCUCAACCACUGGAUCCUAAAAGCCUAUUGACUUUGGGUUCCUUCCUAAUGGAAGACCUAGAUAAGACAAAUGCCACUUUGACACUCUGCAAUCAAGGAUCAAAGCCAAACUAGACAACCACUCUUGGCUUGUAUUAAUACCUGAUAGGGUGCUUUUUUUUUUUAAAUUGAUUUUCAAUUCUGAUACUUGCUUGAAAACCAAAAGGAUUAGCUUGAGGUUUUGAAGGUGUUCCGGAGAGGCUUUAGAGAAAAAAAUGGUGUCAUCUUCAAACUGUAGUAAAGACACUUUAGUUCCAUCCCUACCCACAGUGAAACCCUAAAUUAACCUAGUUUCCUUUGCUCUAAUCAUCAUCCUACUUAGAACAUUUGCUACUAAGGUAAAAAGAAAGGGAAGAAAGGAGGUCUCCUUGUCUCAAAGCCUUAACCCAACCCUUUGCAUUUCCAUUAACUAGGAUUGCAAAACUUGUUGAAGACAAACAUCCUCUCAUCCAAAAUCUCCAUUUUGGGUUAAACCCCUUCCUUUCUAGCACAUGGUCCAAAAAGCCCCAAUCCACAUGAUCAUAGGCCUUCUCAAAAUCAAUUUUGAAGACCACCCCUUCCUCUCCUGAACUCUUUUUCUCAUCCACCACUUCAUUGGCUAUCAACACAACAUCCAAAAUUUGUCUCCCUUCAACAAAGGUUUCUUUGAGAGCUAAAGAUUGUUUCAUGGAGGACUCGGCGUAAACGCCAUGAUAAGACCUUAGCAAUUAUCUUAUAUAAGCUUGUAAUCUGGCUAAUAGGUCUAAAAUCUGAUAUUUUAAAGGUUUGACUUUUCUUGGGCACCAGAGCAAUGAAAGUAGCAUUUGUACUUUGAUUUAUUAUCCCAUUAGUGUGGAACUCUAGAAACACCCUCAUAAGGUCCUCUUUGAUUACAUCCUAACACUCUUGAUACACUGCAAUAGUAAACCCAUCGGGACCAGGGGCCUUUUUCUUAUUCAGUUGGAAAACUGCAAAGCGUACCUCCUCCUCAAAAAAGGGUUUGUCUAGCCAAGAUGCACUCUCUCUAGAAAUAGGGACCCAAUCUAAACCUUCAACCCUCCAAGAAGCACCUGCGGAUUUGGACUAGAGCUUCCUAAAGAAAUUUACAAUCUCCCUUGAAAUAAUUUCAAUGUUGCUUAGAGUCACUCCCUCCUUAGAAACCAAAGACUUAAUGAACUUCUUGUUUCGCCUUCCAUUGGCCACUCUAUGAAAGAACUUAGAGUUGCAAUCCCCUUCUUUUAUCCACUUGAUCCUAGAUUUUUGCCUCCAGUAAACCUCUUCCUUUAACAACAAUUCCUCUAGCUCCUUUCUUUUUAAAGUCCUUUCUAAUAACAAAUCAUGAUUCAAGUUCCCUUCUUGUUCAAAAAGAUCAAUUCUACCUAAGUCUGAAAGAAUGGAAUUUUUCCUCUCUCUUGAAUCUCCAAAGGCCACUUUAUUCCAAUCUUUUAACUUUGAUUUAACAAACUUUACUUUCCUCAUGAACUUAUGACCUUCCCAACCUUCAACUGAACACUCUUGCUACCAAGCACUAAAAUUUUCCUUAAAACUCAAGAUGGAGCAACUGCAUAUUCUCAAACCUGAAAGGAGUUGGGCCCCACUUUAAAGGAUUAGUUCCAAACAAAUUGGGUUGUGAUCUGAGGUCCAUCUAAGAAGCGCCUCUUGAAGACUUUGAGAGAAAAAAAUGGUCCCAUUCAGAUGAGAACAAGAAUCUAUCCAGCCUCUUGCAAAUAGGAACAUCUUGCAUGUUUGACUAAGUAAAAGCCGCGUUCCUAAGAGGGGGAUCAAACAAACCACUCUCCCUUAUAAAAUCGUCAAAACACCCAUGUUCAAUGUUAACCUAGAAGCACCCAAUUUUUCAAAGAUCCUCCCUCCUACACACCAUAUUGGGAAGGUUAGACCAUAUAGGUCUUGUAGUUCCAUCCAGAAAUCCCUCCUCCACAAAGGCUUAUUUGGACCAUACACUGAAGUUAACCAAAAGGAACUUUCUUCACCAGAAUUCAACUUCACAGUUACAGAGAAAGACCCUAACACCAUCUCUGUACACUUGAACUUAUUUGAAUCCUGCAGGAUCACAAUACCCCCCAAAGCCCCACAAGCAAGAAGAAAAACCCACUCUUUGCUUCUUCCUUUCCAAACACUACCCACAAGCCUCCUAUCCUAAAUUUCUCUCUUUGUUUCCUAAAACAUCACAAUAUCUGGAUUUUGAGAACUUAAAAACUUUCUGACAAUCCUCAUUUUCUUUUUGGAGCCCAACCCUCUUGUAUUCCAACUAAUGAUCUUCAUGUAAAUAGAAAAGGGCCUAGCAAAAACCACAACAGACCUAAGCCUCCCCCUUGGAUUCCACAAACAGUCUUUCUCUUCCUUUUGAAAUAGACCUUUUCUGUAGAAAGAGUACUCUUACUCUCCACCACCACACCUUAACUUUCUUUGACAAUUCUAAUCCUCAAACUCUCCAACACCGAUUGAACCUUUACCAUCUUCCUGGGCGUGAGACCCUCAAUUUGAAAGCCUUCCAAUGGGAUAGUGGGAGGUUCUGGAGCUGGGGAGUUGUUGGCCAUUGUAAUGGUUGAACUUAUAUCUAAUUAAUUUUACAACAUUGAAAAAUAAAGGAAGAAAGACCACUAUUAUUUUUAUUAUGUUUAUCAUGUUUAUGUUGAUUAUUAUUAUUAUUAUUAUUAUUAUUGUUAUUAUGUUUAUGCUUAAUUUUAUUGUGUUUAUUAUUAUUGUUUUUGUUGUUAUUAUUAUUAUUAUGUUUAUAUUUAUAUUUGUUAUGUUCAGCAGAAAUAGGCCCAAAAGGAAGGAAAGAAAUAUGAAUCUACCAGUUUAGAGGGUUCAGAAAGAAUCUUUCAAAGAACAAAACAUUUAUUAGCUUCAAACUGAAAUAUUUGAAGUGAAGAAAGAAACCAAAGAAUUAAAAAGUGUGAUGGUGUCGUUGAAAGAAAAGGUUAUAUAACCUUGAGAUAGGAGAGCCAAAAGAACCCUAUGUAAAAAAAGAUACAUAAAUCCCCAUAUUAGCAUCUCCAAUAAAAUGUUUUAUGAUGGAAUAAAUCAGAAUAUUUAUUGUACCUUCCUCAAUUUGAGGAUUUUGCUCUAUUUGACCAUUCAUAUCUGCCAUAAGGGAACCAAAUAAACAUAUGAAUAUUUGGGGAGGUGUGGAAGUAUUUCAGUAAUUCUUCGCUUUGUUGUUUCCUUAAAUGGGUGUUAUUCUUUUUCUUCUUCUUAUCACCAGUAAUAGACUCUGUAAAUUAUUUCUUUUUCACACACAGAGAUGGCAGCAAGUUCUCACCAAUUGUCGGUUUCUUUAUUGAUACCUGUCCCUCAGAGGUUUGAGCAAUAAUAUUUUUCAAUUCUGUUCUAAUUUACUAUGCUAUUCAUUGCCUUGUAUUUUGCAUUGCUAUGGAAUUAUGUAAUAUUUUUUUUUCCUCUAUCUCAAUGUGGAAUUUAAACAAUGACUGAUCACUGUCUUACACUCUUUCUUGUUGAUGCAAUCUGAGUGGUUAAUGACUGAAUGACAUAGAGAACUGCUCAAUCAUGAGAUGGGAAGUCACUCACCCCUCUAAAAUGGGAGUAUCUCUCAUCAUCCAAGCCUUGUUCUUAGUUUUUUGGGGUAUUGCUCUUCCCAUAUUCCAGUGUAAACAAACAUGGAAGAAAAUUCUGUAUAAGCAUAUUAAGUGAAAUGAAAAAAUAAAAAUAAAUAUAAAACAAUCACAUAAAAAGGAAGAAAAUAAAUAAUUUCAAACUUUCAAACUUAGAACUCUCCUUGCAUCUCAUAACUCCCUUAGGACUUGUUAAUGACUAAAUUCUCUAACUAGAGAACACUAAAUACUAGAUGAAUUAGUUUGAAGACGUCACGACUAGAUAAUUGAAUACUCACUUGAAAAUGUUGUCAAAUAGAUGGUGCUUUGCAUGAAACUUGGAUAACCAAAGUGGAUGGGAGAACACACGGAUGUGGGUCUAUUGAACUAGAUCUUACUAGUAAUGUUUUGAUUUAUUUGGCAAUUUUUUGGUAUGUGACAUUUGAAUUAAUGUCUUUGUUAUUACAUGAUAGACAUAGGUAAGUAGUGGAUAAUCUUUUUUUUGUUUUUUGUCUCAUCGACACAACAAUGAUCAUUUUGUCUUCAAAUAAAUAUCUAAAUUGUUAGGAGGCCCACAUGAUUUUUUGUUCUUUGAUGGAAAAUAAUAUAUAUACAUAUUUUUUAUUUAUAAUUUUUAUCAGGACUUUUCCCCUUCCAUCUAUCUUGUGGUAGGGAAUGGGGAGAGAAUUUGAUUCUAAGAAGAUUUAAGGUGGGGAGAUCAACCUUUGAGCUCACAUUUUGCAAGCCUUUACAAAGUUAUUUCAAUGAGAAAUAUUACCAUCUCUGGGGUCCUUGGAAAUUCCUACCUGUUUUCUUGGAAUCUUAAUUUCUAACACAAUCUCAUUGAUUUAGAAAUUGAACUCCUCGAUAGACUGAUGUCUUCACUUAAUUUAGUGCACUUGUCUUUUUCUACCAUAGAUUCAAGAGUUUGGUCCUUAAUCUCCACUGGGUCAUUUUCGAUAAAAAAAAAUUCAUGGUCUUGUUCGAGCCCUCUAAUCCAAUUCCAUUCCUUCCGACUACUUGUGUUUGGAAGCCCUAUCAAAGGUCAAGGCCUUUGCAUGGUUAGUGGUGCAUAAAAAAGUUAAUACCAAUGAUAUGCUACAAGUGAGACGACCCUACAAAUUUCUUAGUUCUCAUUGGUGCAUUUUAUGCAAAGAAAGUGGAUAAAUUGAUCAUCUUUUUCUAAUUGUCCAAUAACAUUGGGGCUUUGACAUAAGCUCUUCAGUGUAGCUAAUUUGGAUUGGGUUCCACCAAGGAGUAUUGGAGAUUUGAUGAUUAUUUCAUUUAAAUGCUUGGGGAAUUCAAUUAGAGGCAAGACGCUUUGACAUAUUGCAUGUAUCAUUGUAUUGUGGGUGUGUAGUAAGAGAGAAAUGUUAGGAUUUUUGAGGAAAAGUGUAGAAUGGAAGGGAUGUUAUGGGAUCUUAUUCAUUUCCACUCCUCUUUUUGGGUUUCUUGUAUUGUCACCUUUAGAGAAAUUCCCCUUAAUGUUAUUCUACUUAGUUGACUUUUGGUUUGUAAUUAGAAAGGGGUAGAUAACUUUUGAGAGAAUUUGGUUUUGAUUUUUGAGAGAUUUUGUACAUGCUUUUAUCAAUAUUUCUCCUUGUACAAUGAAGGGUACACUCUUACUUUGAUCAGGUUUUUUACCUUGUGGGAAGGACCUCUCAUCCUUCUCUUCAACUUUAUCAUUAUCAAUAUAUAUUUUGUUUAUGAUAUAUAGAUAUUUUAUCAUUUUGUCAAUACAACCAUGAUUUUAUGUGUUGAAAUGAGUAUCUGGAAAAUCAGGGGACCAAGACGAUUGGUGGACAGAUGUUCAUGUGAAUUUAUUAAUUCAACAUCAUUUGUUCAAUACAAUCUGAAAACAUUGUGAACUUGAGCACAUACUCUAAUUUAGAUGUUAUUUAAUGGAUAUUUAUACCAAAAUGAUUAUUGACCAGUUAGGGGUGAGCAAAAAAACUUGUAAGCAAUGACUGCAGAAACCGAACCAAGUCAAAUCAAGUUGUUUUUUCUUUCACUUUUCUCAAAUUUUUUUUAAAUUUUUUUUCAAAUUUUAAAUAUUAUUAGGUUAAUUUGAGGAAGUGUAAAAUUUUAGUUUGCUUUACCAGGUUAUUAACCUUUUUAAAUUAAUAAAAAAAUUGAACCAACUGUACACAUUGUUUGUUUUGAUUUGUUGUUUAUUGUGCAAGCCUUUAAAGGUAGUUGACAUUUAGUAUUUUGUGAUGAGAUUUGCCUUGGACCUUGGUUUCCAUUUGUUUAUUAGAUUGAGUCCGAUUUGUAUUAUCACGUGAUCUUGUGAUGUUUUAGAUUGGAUUUUAUGAAUAUUUAUGAAUUUCUAUGUAAAAGAUUUGUAUUAUCAUUUGAGCAUGUGAUAUUUUAGUUUGGAUUAUUAUGCUUGUAAUGUCCUAAAUUAGAUUAUCAUACUUUUGGAUUUUAUAUCAUACAAUUUAUAUUUGAAAACGAGUUUUUGUCAUGUUAUUUUUCUGAAAAAAUUAUUGGCUCAAUUUUGGUCCAAAUGAAAUGAACCAUAUUGAACCAAACUGAACCGAUGGUAAAUUGGGUUCAUUUUGGUUGAUGAAUAAAUCAGUUCUAAUCAGUUCCAACUUAAUUAAAACUUUGGUUCUCUGGUUGCUUAAAAACUGUUCUAAACCAAACUACAGCCACCCUUGCAACAAGUAUGCAUAUGGUAUAUGUGUGUGUGUGUGGUUUUAUGUAUGUAUGUAUGUAUGUAUGUAAAUUUAUAAACUAGGACCAAAUUGAUGAUCACUAUAUAUGUAUAGUUGUAUUUUAUAUGUGUUUAUGUGCUUGUUCAAUGACAUUCAAAUCAAAGUAUGUACUUAAAUUCAAAUACCAAUUGUUUCCUAAAGUGUAUUAUACAUACAUAUGUAUUCAUAUUUUAUAGUAUGUGAAAGAGUACAGAAAUGAUGAUCACCAUUUGCAUAUGUGUGCAUGUUAGUACUUUCCAAAAUGAUAACCAUGCCAGUUCAAUGGAAUAUAUGUAAGAUAAGACAUUAUUAUUUCACAGCACACUGUCAUAUUAUCCAUCUAUGUUGAGAUAAUAUAUAGCUGAUAGGCAGGCUCCUGCACUGUGUAAGCCAUGAAUAUAUUAUAUGAAAAUAUUAUUUCACAAACUUUGUAGAAGAUGUAUUGUCCCCGCAAAAAAUGGCCAGAUGGAUAUUACCUUUGAAUACUUAGUUGAGUUGAUAAUUAUGUGAAUAUUUAUAGAAAAUGUGAAAAAAAGGUUGUUUGUGCAAUGAUAUCAGUAUGUUUGAGAAAGACUAACAUUCUCAUGUGUGAUGGCUGCAACAGGUAAUUGUUCGUAAAUGGGAUCAACAAGAUGAACGAUUAGUGAAACUUUCAGAGGAAGAGGUUUGUGUUCAUCUUAAAUAUGCAUAUUCUCUCUCUCUCUCUCUCUCUGUCUCUCUCUCUCCCCCCUCUGAUUUUGAAACAUAUGCAUGCUAGUCCAGAAAGAGAAUCAUGCCUGAUGCAUUUUGCAUGCCAUAGAUUGGCAUUUUUGCAUUAAUAGUGAGGACCUGUGCUUGAUAAGAAUGAGGGGGAAGGAUUCAGAAACUGCAAUUGUGAAGUGCUAGCCUGAAUUCUUUUUUCCAUUGGCAAGAAAAAAACUAUAGCUGUUGACCUAUUUUCCUUUGUAAGAAAGCUUGAUUGUUUUCUCUAUUUUCGAAUGUUGUCAAAAGCAAAAGGCGAUAGGACUCUUUUUAGCCUAAGGCGAAAGGCGAAAAACAAGGCGAUAACCUAACUAUAGUAAAGCGAUAAAAAAUAUACAUAUAUUUACCCAUUCGAUAUUCAAUCAACAUAAGUAUUGUCUUCAACAAUCAACACUAUUAAUCUUUCAUCACUCACGAUGUCUUAUAAAAUUAACAAAAUAGUAAUAAUUAUUGAAAGUGUUAAAUAUUAUAUCUCAUAUUUUAAAAAACAUCAUAUUGUUUAAAGAUAUUCAUUCUAUCUAAAUGUAUAUUCUAAUUUUUCAAACAUCCAAAAAGCAAAAUAAAAACCAAAAUAAGAGAUUGAACAUUCUAGAGAAGCUUUAGACAUCAUCAUCAUAGUCAUUAUUAAAAUUAAAAUUGUCAUUACUUCCAUCAAGACUGGAUUGAUAACCCUCCAUCUUAUUAUCUCUAUGAUAGAUAAUAUAAUAUUUUAUCUUUUACUUUGUUUAAUCCAAUGUUAGAUUGAAUGAAAUUAUAAUCUAAGUAUGUUUAAUCUUAAUUCAUGGUCAAAGGCGGGGCCUCUAUGCCUUGUACCAUAUCCCAAGGCAAUAGCCUAGGUGUAGCCUCUUUGAAGUUGCCUUGCCUAGGUCUUCAAAAGGUGAUUUUUAUCUACCCUAUCUGGCCUGAUGGCUUAGGCGACCCAGGUGAUCGCCUUUGAUAACACCGCUAUUUUCCUUUUUUUUCUAUAUAGAAAAUGAAAGUUGUCCAUGUAGAAAGGAAAGGGACAGAUGUAGAUAAAUAGGAAGAGUUUUAGUUGUUGAAAAUCAAUAAGCAAACAUGAAGAAUGUAUAAAUACAAUGUGGUGCUGAUUUCUCAGUCCUGCUCUGGAAUUGAGGAAAGUGCUUGAAAUUUCUGAAGAAGUUGUCUAUGGUCAAUGCUUUUUCUUUUUGGUAAUGAAUCAAACCCAAAUUAGCAAUAUUAGCACAUGCUAAAUGUUGAGAAUCUCAAUUAGAUCAUAGAAAUUUUGAUCUGGUUGUUACUUAUUUUUUUAGGGAUAAUAUGUUGUUUUUUAGGGAUAAGUUGUUUAUUUUAAAUUUAUUUUGUUCCUAGAAAUUUAAGCUAUAAAAGGAAGCAUGUUUCCCUUCCUUAUUCAAUUAAUAUAUGACAUUUUUUUAUCCUAUUCUAGAUGGUAUCAGAGUUGACUUAAUUGGUUAUUCCCUUUUUCUUCUCAUUCUUUCCAGUUUUGUUCUUCUUCCCUCUCCGUUUCUGUUGCUACUCCUUCCAUUAUUAUUGGUUCCAAUUCCUUAAAAUUAUCCACAUCCAAUUCUCAUUCCCACUUUGUCUAGAUCACCACAAUCUGCCUUAAUGAGAACAAUUUUCUCAGAUGGUCACAAUUUUUUUGGAUGUACAUUAAGGGCCGAGACAAAAUUGGUUAUUUGACAAGUGACACUCCCUAGCUAUGCCACUUGGGAUGCAGAAAACUCCAUGAUCAUGGCAUGACUGGUAAAUUCCAUGGCGGAGGAGAUUAGCUUGAAUUAUAUGUGUUAUCCUGCUGCCAAAGCUCUUUAGGGCAACACUAUUUAGAUGCAUUUGGACCUUGGAAAUCAGUCCCAAAUCUGUGAGUUACAACUCAAACUAGGCACCAUUCGAUUACCAAAUAUUUUAAUGUGCUUAGGGGUUUAUGGUAGGAUCUUGACUUAUUCAAUGACUAUAUGAGUGGAAAAAUUCGGAUGAUUGUAACUAUUUUAAGAAGAUGGUAGAAAGUUCAUGGAUAUUCAAAUUUUUAGCUGGGCUUAAUGUUGAGUUUGAUGAAGUUCGGGGUAGAAUCAUUGGUUGGAAACCUCUCACUUCUCUAGGUGAAGUGUUCUCUAAAGUGCGUUGUGAGGAAAGCCAGAGGAAUGUUAUGCUUGGGAAGAAGCUCUCUGGACCUAUGGAAAACUUAGCCUUAUUGGGCACUGCAGUAGCGACUUCUCACAAUCCUAAUAACCAGCAUCGUCCGGAUGACAAGCUAAGAGUUUGGUGUGAUCAUUGUAAUAAACCACGCCACACUCGUGAAACCUGUUGGAAAUUACAUGGGAAGCCAACUUAUUGGAAGCCUGUUGAAUGGAAGACUAAUAAGCAAGGUGACUAAUUGUUUCCCUGCUAAAGCACAUGCUACCAAGACACCCUCAUUGAGCAAAGAACAAUUAGACCAACUGCUACAGCUGCUGAAACCUGCUCCGCUGACUCCUGGUACUCCUAUAGCAUCUCUAGCUUAGUCAGGUAGCCUUUCAUGUGAAUAUUCUCCUUCAUUAUUUGCACCUUGGAUUAUAGAUUUAGGUGCCUCUAACCACAUGACUAAUUUAUCUCAUUUGUUUCUCUUAUACACCUUGUUUUGG
Molecule: long non-coding RNA, 43896 nt
Filed under: Vitis vinifera (wine grape)
Lineage: Eukaryota; Viridiplantae; Streptophyta; Magnoliopsida; Vitales; Vitaceae
Description: long non-coding RNA (VVIN_LNC004711)
Source: RNAcentral